Molecule: long non-coding RNA, 1465 nt
Filed under: Helianthus annuus (common sunflower)
Lineage: Eukaryota; Viridiplantae; Streptophyta; Magnoliopsida; Asterales; Asteraceae
Description: hypothetical non coding rna
Source: RNAcentral
UUAUUCAGAAACAAAUCUGAAAUUUAGAGAGAGAAUCAGAGCUAUUUGUAGAGAGAGAAAGCUCUGGCGACCACUCCGUCUUUGUAGAGAUCGAAGUUUAGUUGCAGCAUAUUGUUGGUUGUGAAAAUGAAAAAGUGCAAAUCUGUCAUUUUCAGUUUGAUAUUGUUGAUUUGUCGAAAAAGGUUAGUUGUUUGAACGACCCAUCCCUUCCCCUGCCGCUGCUAUAAACACCACACACACACACAUGCUUGAACGGUGACCACCGAUACUAACAUCAAUCACCACUAAAACUACCACCCAAUCUACCCACCACAAUCAUCAAACCACCACCCACACCCAGUAAAUAAGAUCGACAGAGGUGGUUUUAGAGUUGUUUACGAAGGGGUUCUAAGAGAUGGUUCUCAGGUGGCCUCAAGCCUCUUUCUGCUAUAUAUAAAAAAAGGUACCAUCGAAUUCUUGACCAUUAAUCAAUGUAUUAUAAUUAUCUUUAUUCGGAUCAAACUCGUUCUUUACAAUCUGAUAAAAAAAAAGUUGACUACUUGAUAGAGCUUACCAUAACUACAUAGCCCUCGGAUAAUCGGAUUCAAGAUCUGGGGAUGUAACAGGUAACCCAGGUUUAUAACAUUCCCUAAUGCAAAAACCCCAAAGCCCAGUUCACUGGAAUGACACAAACAGUUUAUUACAAUGCUAAACACAAAUCAAUCAGGUUUCACCAAAAGGGUUAACACCCAAGAAGCCUAAUUGAUGAACCAUAGAGAUACAAGGGGAUUUUGGUUUUGUUGCAGCUUUAAAUCAUUGAAGAAGGGAAAGUGUUAGGGUUGAGAGGGAAAUUACCAUUUUACCCUCAUGUGCAUUGCACAUGACAGUUUUUAACUGAGAUUUCAAACCAGGUUUGGCCUAAAGGACAAAACGUGCAAGAUUUUGAAAGACUAAGGACACCGCCUGUAAACUUUUGGCCAAAAGGACAACGCCUGUAAUUUGAUGUAAACAUAAAGGACAAAACUUGUAAUUUACUCAUUUUUUUAUGUUUAAGUUUAAGUUGUUUAAGUAUUUAACCAAUGCUAGUAGAAAUUAUUAAUUUUAUUCUUAAAUGUUAAGUAUUGAUGAUAAAUACAUUAACAUGUUUAUUUACAGUUGAAAUGAUUUAUUUAUUGCUUCCAAUAAAUAACAAAAUAUAAUAUAAAAUUAAAUGAUCUUCAAAGUAUUAUAAAAGAAAAUGUCUUAAUAAAACUUUAGAGAUAUUAUAAAAGAAAAUGUAUUAAUAAAAACUUUAAAGAAACAUAAAAAUAGAUUAGAAAUUUCGGUUUAUGUGAACAAUAUUCAUUAAAAAGGUUAAAUAUAAUAACUUAAAUGUAAACAAAGAUUCUUAAAUUUUAAUUAUACUUUUUAAUUUUUGAAUCUUACAUAAUUUUGUUCCAAAAACUAAAAUAACUGAAAAACCUAAUCAAACUGGUGUAAAAAUCAA